Molecule: ribosomal RNA, 710 nt
Filed under: Rhodococcus sp. (in: high G+C Gram-positive bacteria)
Lineage: Bacteria; Bacillati; Actinomycetota; Actinomycetes; Mycobacteriales; Nocardiaceae
Description: bacterial SSU rRNA
Rfam family: Bacterial small subunit ribosomal RNA
Source: RNAcentral
GUACACGAGCGGCGAACGGGUGAGUAACACGUGGGUGAUCUGCCCUGCACUUCGGGAUAAGCCUGGGAAACUGGGUCUAAUACCGGAUAUGACCACAGGCUGCAUGGCUUGUGGUGGAAAGGUUUACUGGUGCAGGAUGGGCCCGCGGCCUAUCAGCUUGUUGGUGGGGUAAUGGCCUACCAAGGCGACGACGGGUAGCCGACCUGAGAGGGUGACCGGCCACACUGGGACUGAGACACGGCCCAGACUCCUACGGGAGGCAGCAGUGGGGAAUAUUGCACAAUGGGCGAAAGCCUGAUGCAGCGACGCCGCGUGAGGGAUGAAGGCCUUCGGGUUGUAAACCUCUUUCAGCAGGGACGAAGCGCAAGUGACGGUACCUGCAGAAGAAGCACCGGCUAACUACGUGCCAGCAGCCGCGGUAAUACGUAGGGUGCGAGCGUUGUCCGGAAUUACUGGGCGUAAAGAGUUCGUAGGCGGUUUGUCGCGUCGUCUGUGAAAACCCAUCGCUCAACGAUGGGCCGGCAGGCGAUACGGGCAGACUUGAGUACUGCAGGGGAGACUGGAAUUCCUGGUGUAGCGGUGAAAUGCGCAGAUAUCAGGAGGAACACCGGUGGCGAAGGCGGGUCUCUGGGCAGUAACUGACGCUGAGGAACGAAAGCGUGGGUAGCAAACAGGAUUAGAUACCCUGGUAGUCCACGCCGUAAACGGUG